This 253-nucleotide ribosomal RNA is filed under the name uncultured bacterium. Its description in RNAcentral is "partial 16S ribosomal RNA". It matches the Rfam family "Bacterial small subunit ribosomal RNA", at positions 524 to 777 of the family's 1533-position model. The record is from RNAcentral.
UACAGAGGGUGCGAGCGUUGUCCGGAUUUACUGGGCGUAAAGAGCGCGCAGGCGGUCAGAUAAGUCGAAUGUGAAAGCCCCCGGCUCAACUGGGGAGGGUCAUUCGAUACUGUUCGACUCGAAGGCAGGAGAGGGAAGUGGAAUUCCCGGUGUAGUGGUGAAAUGCGUGGAUAUCGGGAGGAACACCAGUGGCGAAGGCGGCUCUCUGGGACGUGACUGACGCUGAGACGCGAAAGCGUGGGAGCGAACGAGG